GGGUCUCGCUCGUUACCUGACUUAACAGGAUGCUUCACAGUACGAACUGACGACGGCCAUGCACCACCUCUCAGCUAAUCCGGCAAAGUCUUCAGCCUGGCCUUCAUAUUGCUGUCGGUCCCGGUAAGAUUUCCGGCGUUGAAUCCAAUUAAACCGCAAGCUCCACCCGUUGUGGUGCUCCCCCGCCAAUUCCUUUAAGUUUCAGCCUUGCGGCCGUACUUCCCAGGUGGCUCGCUUCACGGCUUCCCUACGGCACCGACAACGGUCGCACCGUGGCCGACACCUAGCGAGUAUCGUUUACGGCUAGGACUACCCGGGUAUCUAAUCCGGUUCGUGCCCCUAGCUUUCGUCCCUUUGCCGUCAGGAUCCGUUCUGGUGAGACGCCUUCGCCACUGGUGGUCCUUCAAGGAUUACAAGAUUUCACCCCCUACCCCUGAAGUACCUCUCACCUCUCCCGGCCUCGAGCCAGACAGUAUCUCCUGAAAGCCUGACAGUUAAGCUGCCAGAUUUCUCAAGAGACUUAUCCGGCCGGCUACAGACCCUUUAGACCCAAUAAUAACGGUUACCACUCGAGCCGCCGGUGUUACCGCGGCGGCUGGCACCGGUCUUGCCCGGCCCUUGCUAUGAAAUGCUUUUUAGGCAUCUCGACAGCCAGAUUUGUAACCUGGCACUCGAGGUUCCCUUAUCGCUGUUGCCAGCAUUGUAAAGUUUUCGCGCCUGCUGCACCCCGUAGGGCCUGGAUUCGUGUCUCAGAAUCCAUCUCCGGGCUCCUGCUCUCACAACCCGUACCCGUCGUAGGCUAGUAGGUACGCUACACCCACUACUACCUGAUAGGCCGCAGACCCAUCCUUAGGCGCCGGAGCUUUUAAUCUCGGUGCAUUCCAGCAGCCGAGACUUAUAGGGGAUUAUACCCAGUUUCCCGGGUUUAUACCCAACCUAAGGGCAGGUUGUCCACGUGUUACUGAGCAGUACGCCAUGUAUUGCUACAUUCGACUCGCAUGGCUUAGUCGAACCUCGAUAGCAGUAACCUCUGGCAGGAUCAACC
This 1045-nucleotide ribosomal RNA is filed under the name unidentified archaeon. RNAcentral's name for it is "16S ribosomal RNA". The record is from RNAcentral.